UACCAUGCAGUCGAACGGUAACGCGGGGCAACCUGGCGACGAGUGGCGAACGGGUGAGUCCUAUAUCGGAACGUGCCCAGUAGUGGGGGAUAGCCCGGCGAAAGCCGGAUUAAUACCGCAUACGACCUACGGGUGAAAGCGGGGGAUCGCAAGACCUCGCGCUAUUGGAGCGGCCGAUGUCAGAUUAGGUAGUUGGUGGGGUAAAGGCCUACCAAGCCGACGAUCUGUAGCUGGUCUGAGAGGACGACCAGCCACACUGGGACUGAGACACGGCCCAGACUCCUACGGGAGGCAGCAGUGGGGAAUUUUGGACAAUGGGCGCAAGCCUGAUCCAGCCAUGCCGCGUGCGGGAAGAAGGCCUUCGGGUUGUAAACCGCUUUUGUCAGGGAAGAAACGCUCUGGGCUAAUACCCCGGGGUAAUGACGGUACCUGAAGAAUAAGCACCGGCUAACUACGUGCCAGCAGCCGCGGUAAUACGUAGGGUGCAAGCGUUAAUCGGAAUUACUGGGCGUAAAGCGUGCGCAGGCGGUUAUGCAAGACAGAUGUGAAAUCCCCGGGCUUAACCUGGGAACUGCAUUUGUGACUGCACAGCUGGAGUGCGGCAGAGGGGGAUGGAAUUCCGCGUGUAGCAGUGAAAUGCGUAGAUAUGCGGAGGAACACCGAUGGCGAAGGCAAUCCCCUGGGCCUGCACUGACGCUCAU
This 701-nucleotide ribosomal RNA is filed under the name uncultured bacterium. RNAcentral's name for it is "bacterial SSU rRNA". It matches the Rfam family "Bacterial small subunit ribosomal RNA", at positions 52 to 750 of the family's 1533-position model. The record is from RNAcentral.